This 94-nucleotide ribosomal RNA is filed under the name Paramormyrops kingsleyae. Lineage: Eukaryota; Metazoa; Chordata; Actinopteri; Osteoglossiformes; Mormyridae. The record is from RNAcentral.
UUCAGACUAGGUACUCCACCUGAAACUAAGCAGGUUAGAGUCUGGCCAGUACUUGGAUGGGAGACCAACUAGGAAACCUAGGUUGCUGCUGGAA